UCCAUAACAGCGACUUUGACUCAUGCAGUGUAAAUCAAUGUUUGGCUUGUGUUUGUGGGACUGAGGAUAAACCAGUGGUUGUGGGUCCUUUUCCACAGCAAUGGUUAGUUUGUACAUUUCCUCUUUUCAGCUCCUGGUACGUCCAGCUCAGUGUGUUAGUUUGAUUUCAUGUAGGACACUGUUACAGCUGAUAGGCAGAGCCACACUCGUCUUUUAUUGUGUCUCAGGCUGCAGGUUACUUAUAAUUCAGUUUGUUAAAUAUAAUUAAUGAAGUUAUCUGAAUAUGUUAUCUGUGUCUGUGGUGCAUGUUUGAACCUGUGCAGCCUUUGAGUUUAAACACUAUCUUUACAGUCCACUUACACUCAGACAAACAGCAGCUUCACUGCAUUUAUGUUUGUCUGCUUAGACACAAUCACUGCUGUUUUAGUGCCUCUGCUAAACUGCAGCUUACUCAUGAAAGCUGUGUCUCAGAUGGAUGUUAGUCCAACACAUCAGACACGACCUCUGCAGCUCUCAGUUGAUGUGCACAUGAAUGAUUUGUGUUUCCUCUGCAGGUGAAGGUAGAAAGUGUGUGUGAGCUGAAUUGAGCAGCAUGGAUCAGUGUGAGGACAGAGAGGAGGGAGUCCCUCCCUCUAAAAGCACUCUGUGUGGGGAACAUGAGAGCCAGACCAAAGCUCAGAGGAAGAAACGAGGAACUAAACGCAAACAUGAACCUGAACCCAGCUUUGUGUCCUUGAAGAGUGACUGGUCAGCACAUCGUCCCAUUAAUUUUAAAGUCCAGCCUGUGUCUGCUGCAGAGAGGAACCAACGAGGAACUAAACGCAAACAUGAACCUGAACCCAGAAAGUGUGACAGGUCUAGAAGUCCCCCCAUUGAGUUUAAAGUCCAGCCUGUGUCUGCUGCAGAGAGAGGUCAGAGGUCACAGUCUGCAGGAUCCAGCAGUCUGUCUGUGAGGAGUGAUUACUCUAAAGAGCCACCUCCCGCCUUCAGUGCUGAACCUGGACCAACGAGAGGUCAGAGGUCACAGUCUGCAGGAUCCAGCUGUCCGUCUGUGAGGAGUGAUUACUCUAAAGAGCCACCUCCCGCCUUCAGUGCUGAACCUGGACCAACGAGUUACUUUGAAACAAAGGCAACUACCGGGAUUCUUAUGUAACACACCCCAAGCAAGAGGGCG
This is a long non-coding RNA of Oreochromis niloticus (Nile tilapia), 1174 nucleotides long. RefSeq annotates it as proteoglycan 4. The transcript has 6 exons. The record is from RefSeq and is a predicted model, not a curated record. NCBI's taxonomy places the organism in Eukaryota, Metazoa, Chordata, Actinopteri, Cichliformes, Cichlidae.